GUUUAAAACAGUUCCAAACAGCAGCAACUGAAUUUGGAAAUUCAUUCUGCAAAAUGUUACCCAGAGAGAUUUCAGGUGAAAAGUGAGAAUCUGACUUUUUUUUUUAAAUGUUGGAACAAAGAAGCAGUUGACCCCUUUAUACAGCUCAGUCAGAAAGUAAAUGAUAUAGAACCUGCUGGUAAUUCACAAGAUUCAAAAUUAGUGAUACUGUAGGAUGACUAGAGGCCAAGAUGCAAUAUAUAUAUAUAAUCUAAAACAGCAUUUUCAGAUUGGCAGCUUCUUAUCUGAAGUAAAAUAUGAAGUAAUUGCCCCCUACAUUUAUUGUAAAAGUAAAUAAAAAGUGUAUCAUUGAUAUGCUUAUUUAAUAUGCGUGUAUGUGUUUUGAGAGAAUACUUGGACUUAAAGAAUAAGGGUGUAUGAGGAGUGGGGGAGCAAGAUUUUCUUUACUUUAGCUUGUAAUGUUUUCAAGGCUUCAUGACCCAUGGAUUGUUUUUUUGUGACACUCCUCCUCCCCUCCCAAAAAAACACUGGUCUAAAGAAACAAGAACAGGACUGGGAGUCAGCAAGUCUUGAUGUCUAGUCCUGCUUCUACCAAUUAUGUGGUCUAUGCACACGUUGGGGCACAAAUCCACUGAAUUUCUGAUUGCUCUUUUUAGUGUCACUUAGAAGAUUUACUUCACUGAACCAGACUGCUACAACGGAAGCAGACCGUGAGGAGAAACUUGUCAGAACUUUCACUGCAGAUUUGACAAAACACAAAGAAGGUACCAAUGUGAAAUCUCUAAAGAUAGUGACAACACUUGACCCAAGGUUUAUGAAUCUGAAGUGCCUUCCAAA
This is a long non-coding RNA of Dermochelys coriacea (leatherback sea turtle), 837 nucleotides long. RefSeq lists it as uncharacterized. Lineage: Eukaryota; Metazoa; Chordata; Testudines; Dermochelyidae. The transcript has 3 exons. The record is from RefSeq and is a predicted model, not a curated record.